AUUCAGUAUAAUUUGAUUAUAAAUUUAAUUAUUAUUAUUGAUUUUUUAAAGUAUUAUUUUAUUUAUUAUUAUAAAAGAAAAAUUAAUUUUUUAUUAUAGUUUACUAGUAAAGUGAUUGAAUUUAUUUAUAUAUUAAUAAGAAAAAUUUAUUUUUUGUACCUUGUGUAUCAGGGUUGAUUAAUUUUAUAAUUAUUAUUAAUUUUUCUCGAAUUAAGAAGAGCUAAUUAUGUAUAUGUUUAAUUUUUUCAUAAAUUUUCAUAAUAUAUAAUUUGAAAUGAAAUGUUAUUCGUUUCUUAAUAUAUCUAGUUUUUUAAGAAAAGAAUUUAAUUCUCUUAUUAUUUAUUAUUAGUUAAUUUUUAGUUAAUAAUUUUUAGUAUGAAAUAAAUAAAGGGAUAAGCUUUUAUUUUAAUAAUUAAAAAUUUAUUUGGUUUUAUUUUUUGUAUAAUUUAAAUUGUUAAUCAUUUUUAUAAUAUAAUAGUUAAUUUUAUUUAAUUAAUGAUUUAUAUUUAUUUUAAUUUUUUUAUUAAAAAUUUAUGUUUAAUUUUUUAGCUUUUUAGUAGAUAAAUAUGUAUUUUAUUAUUUAUUUUUAAGAUAAUAAAAAGGAACUCGGCAAAUAAAUUUUUCGCCUGUUUAUUAAAAACAUGUCUUUUUGAUUAUAAUUUAAGGUUUAAUCUGCUCAAUGAUUUAUUAAAUUGCCGCAGUAUUUUGACUGUGCAAAGGUAGCAUAAUAAUUAGCUUUUUUAUUGAGAGCUGGAAUGAAUGAUUGGACGAAAAAAUUUCUGUCUCUUUAUUAUUUAUUAUUUAAUUUUACUUUUAAGUUAAAAGGCUUAAAUUUUUUUAAAAGACGAGAAGACCCUAUAGAGUUUUAUUUUUAUUUUUUGAUUAAUUUUUAGAAUUUAAAAUAUUUUAUAAAAUAAAAAAUUUAGUUGGGGUGACUGAAAGAUUAAUUAAACUCUUUUAAUUGAAAUCAUUUAUUUAUGAAUAGAGAAAUUAUUUUUAUAAAUUUAAAAUAAAUUACCUUAGGGAUAACAGCGUUAUUUUUCUUUAGAGUUCUUAUUGAAAGGAAAGAUUGCGACCUCGAUGUUGGAUUAAAAUUUAUUUUUGGUGUAGAAGCUUAAAUAUUAAGUCUGUUCGACUUUUAAAAUUUUACAUGAUCUGAGUUUAAACCGGUGUAAGCCAGGUUGGUUUCUAUCUUUAAAUUUUUAAUAUAUUUUAGUACGAAAGGACCAAAUAUAUAAUAUAUUAUUUUAUUUUGAAUAAUAUU
This 1264-nucleotide ribosomal RNA is filed under the name Abscondita chinensis. Its description in RNAcentral is "16S ribosomal RNA". The stretch from base 1025 to 1183 matches the Rfam family "Archaeal large subunit ribosomal RNA", at positions 2542 to 2701 of the family's 2987-position model. Lineage: Eukaryota; Metazoa; Arthropoda; Insecta; Coleoptera; Lampyridae. The record is from RNAcentral.